RNAcentral lists this long non-coding RNA (368 nucleotides) under Anser brachyrhynchus (Pink-footed goose). RNAcentral's name for it is "lncRNA (ENSABRG00000018008.1)". Lineage: Eukaryota; Metazoa; Chordata; Aves; Anseriformes; Anatidae. The record is from RNAcentral.
AAACAAGCCAUGGGGGACAGAAGACCUAGUGGGAAUGAAGGUGGAGCCCACCGUGUUUAGAUGUGCUAUCUAGAAGGUGGAUGCCAGAUGACCUGUGUCGGUACCGAGCCAUUUCAGUUAUCCACGCCGCACUGCAGACUGUGUUGCACUACAGUAUGUCAGAGCCGAGGCCUUGCAACUGCCUGCAAAGGUAGAAGAGAAGAUGGCGAUACAUAAGCCAGACUACUGAUGAUUUCCAGGAGAAAAAUUUCAUGGCUGUACCAAAAUGUUCAAAGAAGAAAGAUGAAAAAUCUGCAGUGCUGCAACUUAGGUCUCAUCUGGAAACUGCAGAAGUGUACAGAUUCAGACUUGGAUCGGUGUGGUCAGCU